Molecule: ribosomal RNA, 702 nt
Filed under: Clostridium botulinum C
Lineage: Bacteria; Bacillati; Bacillota; Clostridia; Eubacteriales; Clostridiaceae
Description: bacterial SSU rRNA
Rfam family: Bacterial small subunit ribosomal RNA
Source: RNAcentral
UUUAAAUUGAGAGUUUGAUCCUGGCUCAGGACGAACGCUGGCGGCGUGCCUAACACAUGCAAGUCGAGCGAUGAAGCUUCCUUCGGGGAGUGGAUUAGCGGCGGACGGGUGAGUAACACGUGGGUAACCUGCCUCAAAGAGGGGGAUAGCCUCCCGAAAGGGAGAUUAAUACCGCAUAACAUUAUUUUAUGGCAUCAUAGAAUAAUCAAAGGAGCAAUCCGCUUUGAGAUGGACCCGCGGCGCAUUAGCUAGUUGGUGAGGUAAGGGCUCACCAAGGCGACGAUGCGUAGCCGACCUGAGAGGGUGAUCGGCCACAUUGGAACUGAGACACGGUCCAGACUCCUACGGGAGGCAGCAGUGGGGAAUAUUGCGCAAUGGGGGGAACCCUGACGCAGCAACGCCGCGUGAGUGAUGAAGGUUUUCGGAUCGUAAAACUCUGUCUUUAGGGACGAUAAUGACGGUACCUAAGGAGGAAGCCACGGCUAACUACGUGCCAGCAGCCGCGGUAAUACGUAGGUGGCAAGCGUUGUCCGGAUUUACUGGGCGUAAAGAGUAUGUAGGUGGGUGCUUAAGUCAGAUGUGAAAUUCCCGGGCUUAACCUGGGCGCUGCAUUUGAAACUGGGCAUCUAGAGUGCAGGAGAGGAAAGUGGAAUUCCUAGUGUAGCGGUGAAAUGCGUAGAGAUUAGGAAGAACACCAGUGGC